RNAcentral lists this transfer RNA (79 nucleotides) under Sphaerodactylus townsendi. Its description in RNAcentral is "tRNA-Ala". The record is from RNAcentral. Lineage: Eukaryota; Metazoa; Chordata; Lepidosauria; Squamata; Sphaerodactylidae.
GGACUGGGCUCAGUGGCAGAGCAUCUAUCUGCUUUGCAUGUACAAGGUCACAGGUUCAAUCACUGGCAUCUCCAGUCCA